GACGAACGCUGGCGGCGGGCUUAACACAUGCAAGUCGAACGGAAAGGCACCUUUGGGGGUACUCGAGGGGCGAAGGGGGGAGUAACGCGGGAGUAACCUGCCCUUGACUUCGGGAUAACGUGGGGAAAGUGGGGCUAAUACCGGAUAGGAAUCCUUGCUGCAUGGGGGGGGUUGGAAAGAUUCGGGGGGUUUGGGCGGGCUCGCGGCUUAACGGCUUGUUGGUGGGGUAGUGGCUUACAAAGGCUUGAACGGGUAGCCGGACUGUGGGGGGGAGCGGCCACACUGGGACCGAGAUACGGCCCAGACUCCGACGGGAGGCAGCAGGGGGGAAUAUUGCACCAUGCGUGCAGGCCUGAUGCAGCAACCCCGCGUGCUGUAUAACCGCUUUCUUGUUGUAAACCGCUUUCAGCAGGGGCGCAGCCUGUGGUGACGGUACCUGCAGAAGAAGCACCGGCUAACUACGUG
Molecule: ribosomal RNA, 465 nt
Filed under: uncultured bacterium
Lineage: Bacteria
Description: partial 16S ribosomal RNA
Rfam family: Bacterial small subunit ribosomal RNA
Source: RNAcentral